AUUUAUAUAGUUUAGUUCAUUAAAACUUUAUAUUUUCAUUAUAAAAAAAAUAUAUCUUAUUUAUAAAUU
Molecule: transfer RNA, 69 nt
Filed under: Acropyga silvestrii
Lineage: Eukaryota; Metazoa; Arthropoda; Insecta; Hymenoptera; Formicidae
Description: tRNA-Glu
Source: RNAcentral